This 104-nucleotide ribosomal RNA is filed under the name Salmonella enterica. Lineage: Bacteria; Pseudomonadati; Pseudomonadota; Gammaproteobacteria; Enterobacterales; Enterobacteriaceae. RNAcentral also lists the same sequence under 8 other names. The record is from RNAcentral.
CCUGGCGGCACUAGCGCGGUGGUCCCACCUGACCCCAUGCCGAACUCAGAAGUGAAACGCCGUAGCGCCGAUGGUAGUGUGGGGUCUCCCCAUGCGAGAGUAGG